RNAcentral lists this ribosomal RNA (253 nucleotides) under uncultured bacterium. RNAcentral describes it as "partial 16S ribosomal RNA". It matches the Rfam family "Bacterial small subunit ribosomal RNA", at positions 524 to 776 of the family's 1533-position model. The record is from RNAcentral.
UACGUAGGGUGCGCGCGUUAAUCGGAAUUACUGGGCGUAAAGAGCUCGUAGGUGGUUUGUCGCGUUGUUCGUGAAAACCUGAGGCUUAACCUUGGGCGUGCGGGCGAUACGGGCAGACUGGAGUACUGCAGGGGAGACUGGAAUUCCUGGUGUAGCGGUGGAAUGCGCAGAUAUCAGGAGGAACACCGGUGGCGAAGGCGGGUCUCUGGGCAGUAACUGACGCUGAGGCGCGAAAGCGUGGGGAGCAAACAGG